GAAAUAUGAAAUUCAAGAUUUAGCUUCUAACUAAUAUCUUAAGCAGUGAAAAUCUGUUUAUAUUUCU
RNAcentral lists this transfer RNA (67 nucleotides) under Cucujus sp. MJ-2020. RNAcentral describes it as "tRNA-Ser". The record is from RNAcentral. Lineage: Eukaryota; Metazoa; Arthropoda; Insecta; Coleoptera; Cucujidae.